RNAcentral lists this ribosomal RNA (214 nucleotides) under uncultured bacterium. Its description in RNAcentral is "partial 16S ribosomal RNA". It matches the Rfam family "Bacterial small subunit ribosomal RNA", at positions 328 to 535 of the family's 1533-position model. The record is from RNAcentral.
ACGCUCGACACCUACGGGAGGCAGCAGUGGGGGAUAUUGCACAAUGGGGAAACCCGUACGAUGCAGCAACGCCGCGUGAAGGAAGAAGGUCUUCGGUAUUGUAAACUUACUGUCCUCAGGGAAGGAUAAUGACGGUACCGUCGAGGAGGGAAGGACGUCCCGGCCGUAACCUACGUGCACAGCCGCAGUAAUACUGAGGCGGGCGUGGCGAGGC